UGGGGAAUUUUGGGCAAUGGGCGCAAGCCUGACCCAGCAACGCCGCGUGAAGGACGAAAUCCCUCUGGGAUGUAAACUUCGAAAGUUAGGGAAGAAAUACCGGAGGCGAAUACCCUCCGGGGAUGACGGUACCUAACGUAAGCCCCGGCUAACUACGUGCCAGCAGCCGCGGUAAUACGUAGGGGGCAAGCGUUGUUCGGAAUUACUGGGCGUAAAGGGCGCGUAGGCGGCACAGCAAGUCGGAAGUGAAAGCCCGGGGCUCAACCCCGGAAUGUCUUUCGAAACUGCUGAGCUAGAGUGCAGAAGAGGCAACUGGAAUUCCCAGUGUAGCGGUGAAAUGCGUAGAUAUUGGGAAGAACACCUGAGGCGAAGGCGGGUUGCUGGGCUGACACUGACGCUGAGGCGCGAAAGCCAGGGGAGCGAACGG
This 427-nucleotide ribosomal RNA is filed under the name uncultured bacterium. RNAcentral describes it as "bacterial SSU rRNA". It matches the Rfam family "Bacterial small subunit ribosomal RNA", at positions 355 to 775 of the family's 1533-position model. The record is from RNAcentral.